RNAcentral lists this long non-coding RNA (823 nucleotides) under Equus asinus (donkey). RNAcentral describes it as "lncRNA (ENSEASG00005034746.1)". Lineage: Eukaryota; Metazoa; Chordata; Mammalia; Perissodactyla; Equidae. The record is from RNAcentral.
CGGGUGUAGACGAGGCGGGCCCUGCGAGAGAAGUGCCGGGGAAGGGAGACGGCGUUCAGCUCUGAUCCUCCCCCUUGCCUCGCUCUGCCUGAUCUUGGACUGAAACACCGAAAGCAAAGAGACAGGUGGCAGCGGAACUCACACUUACUGAACAACUUAUCUUCUAUGUGUCAGAAACAGCUCUAGAUACUUGGUAUUUGCCUUCCAUUUCAUCUUCUCAACAACCACACAAAAAAAAUGUGUGGAAAGAAACACACCAAAUCAGCCAAAACGGUUACUCCUGUGGGAUGGAGUGGAAGAGGAGAGAGACUGUUACCGCACAAAGUUGGGGUUCACUGCCCGAUGCACAUAAACAAACUGAUUAAUUACAGCAUCAGCCUUUGGGGAAAGAGUGUGGGAAAUGCCAGCAGGAGGACACCUUCCUCAACAUGGGGCUUCCUGGAAGACUUCCUGGAGGAGGCAACAUACAAAUGGAGGUUUGUGGCUUAGAGAGCAGGCUAAAGGGAGUGGGUAGGAACCAACUGGCAGGACAGCGUCAUUCUGGCUGGACAAGGCUUCUUCUGGGAGAGUAGCAGAGGUGGGGUAAAGAGGGAGGCCAGGCCUGGCUGCUGAGUGAGGUCAGCAUGUGUAAUAUGGCCAUGGUCAGGGCUGUGUGGGGAUGUGUGAGGAGGUGGCAGCAGCUUGGGGUCAGUCAAGGAAGGCCUGGCUCUGCCCAGAGAGGGCUAUGGGAAUGGGGGGAGGCAGCUCCAAAGUCUAAGGGGGAGAAGCCCCUCCCCCUACUGACCAUGGCAAGGCUGGGCCAGUGUCCAGCAGGAGAUGAAAG